RNAcentral lists this ribosomal RNA (253 nucleotides) under uncultured bacterium. Its description in RNAcentral is "partial 16S ribosomal RNA". It matches the Rfam family "Bacterial small subunit ribosomal RNA", at positions 524 to 776 of the family's 1533-position model. The record is from RNAcentral.
UACAGAGGUCUCAAGCGUUGUUCGGAUUCAUUGGGCGUAAAGGGUGCGUAGGUGGCGGGGUAAGUCAGGUGUGAAAUCUCGGGGCUCAACCCCGAAACUGCACUUGAUACUGCCUUGCUCGAGUACUGGAGAGGAGAUCGGAAUUUACGGUGUAGCAGUGAAAUGCGUAGAUAUCGUAAGGAAGACCAGUGGCGAAGGCGAAUCUCUGGACAGUUACUGACACUGAGGCACGAAGGCCAGGGGAGCAAACGGG